RNAcentral lists this ribosomal RNA (2806 nucleotides) under Enterobacter hormaechei. RNAcentral describes it as "partial 23S ribosomal RNA". It matches the Rfam family "Bacterial large subunit ribosomal RNA". The record is from RNAcentral. Lineage: Bacteria; Pseudomonadati; Pseudomonadota; Gammaproteobacteria; Enterobacterales; Enterobacteriaceae.
GGGUUGUGAGGUUAAGCGACUAAGCGUACACGGUGGAUGCCCUGGCAGUCAGAGGCGAUGAAGGACGUGCUAAUCUGCGAAAAGCGCCGGCGAGGUGAUAUGAACCCUUGACCCGGCGAUGUCCGAAUGGGGAAACCCAGUGUGUUCCGACACACUAUCGUUAACUGAAUACAUAGGUUAACGAGGCGAACCGGGGGAACUGAAACAUCUAAGUACCCCGAGGAAAAGAAAUCAACCGAGAUUCCCCCAGUAGCGGCGAGCGAACGGGGAGCAGCCCGGAGUCUGAAUCAGCUUGUGUGUUAGUGGAACGGUCUGGAAAGUCCGACGGUACAGGGUGAUAGUCCCGUACACGAAAAUGCACAUGCUGUGAACUCGAAGAGUAGGGCGGGACACGUGGUAUCCUGUCUGAAUAUGGGGGGACCAUCCUCCAAGGCUAAAUACUCCUGACUGACCGAUAGUGAACCAGUACCGUGAGGGAAAGGCGAAAAGAACCCCGGCGAGGGGAGUGAAAAAGAACCUGAAACCGUGUACGUACAAGCAGUGGGAGCCUCUUUAUGGGGUGACUGCGUACCUUUUGUAUAAUGGGUCAGCGACUUAUAUUCUGUAGCAAGGUUAACCGUAUAGGGGAGCCGAAGGGAAACCGAGUCUUAACUGGGCGUUAAGUUGCAGGGUAUAGACCCGAAACCCGGUGAUCUAGCCAUGGGCAGGUUGAAGGUUGGGUAACACUAACUGGAGGACCGAACCGACUAAUGUUGAAAAAUUAGCGGAUGACCUGUGGCUGGGGGUGAAAGGCCAAUCAAACCGGGAGAUAGCUGGUUCUCCCCGAAAGCUAUUUAGGUAGCGCCUCGUGAACUCAUCUUCGGGGGUAGAGCACUGUUUCGGCUAGGGGGCCAUCCCGGCUUACCAACCCGAUGCAAACUACGAAUACCGAAGAAUGUUAUCACGGGAGACACACGGCGGGUGCUAACGUCCGUCGUGAAGAGGGAAACAACCCAGACCGCCAGCUAAGGUCCCAAAGUCAUGGUUAAGUGGGAAACGAUGUGGGAAGGCACAGACAGCCAGGAUGUUGGCUUAGAAGCAGCCAUCAUUUAAAGAAAGCGUAAUAGCUCACUGGUCGAGUCGGCCUGCGCGGAAGAUGUAACGGGGCUAAACCAUGCACCGAAGCUGCGGCAGCGACGCUUAUGCGUUGUUGGGUAGGGGAGCGUUCUGUAAGCCGUUGAAGGUGUGCUGUGAGGCAUGCUGGAGGUAUCAGAAGUGCGAAUGCUGACAUAAGUAACGAUAAAGCGGGUGAAAAGCCCGCUCGCCGGAAGACCAAGGGUUCCUGUCCAACGUUAAUCGGGGCAGGGUGAGUCGACCCCUAAGGCGAGGCCGAAAGGCGUAGUCGAUGGGAAACAGGUUAAUAUUCCUGUACUUGGUGUUACUGCGAAGGGGGGACGGAGAAGGCUAUGUCAGCCGGGCGACGGUUGUCCCGGUUUAAGCAUGUAGGCGGAGGUUCCAGGUAAAUCCGGUACCUUAUUAACGCUGAGGUGUGAUGACGAGGCACUACGGUGCUGAAGUGAUAAAUGCCCUGCUUCCAGGAAAAGCCUCUAAGCAUCAGGUAACACGAAAUCGUACCCCAAACCGACACAGGUGGUCAGGUAGAGAAUACCAAGGCGCUUGAGAGAACUCGGGUGAAGGAACUAGGCAAAAUGGUGCCGUAACUUCGGGAGAAGGCACGCUGAUAUGUAGGUGAAGCCCCUGCGGGCGGAGCUGAAAUCAGUCGAAGAUACCAGCUGGCUGCAACUGUUUAUUAAAAACACAGCACUGUGCAAACACGAAAGUGGACGUAUACGGUGUGACGCCUGCCCGGUGCCGGAAGGUUAAUUGAUGGGGUUAGCGGCAACGCGAAGCUCUUGAUCGAAGCCCCGGUAAACGGCGGCCGUAACUAUAACGGUCCUAAGGUAGCGAAAUUCCUUGUCGGGUAAGUUCCGACCUGCACGAAUGGCGUAAUGAUGGCCAGGCUGUCUCCACCCGAGACUCAGUGAAAUUGAACUCGCUGUGAAGAUGCAGUGUACCCGCGGCAAGACGGAAAGACCCCGUGAACCUUUACUAUAGCUUGACACUGAACACUGGUCCUUGAUGUGUAGGAUAGGUGGGAGGCUUUGAAGCGUGGACGCCAGUCUGCGUGGAGCCGUCCUUGAAAUACCACCCUUUAAUGGCUGGUGUUCUAACGUAGACCCGUGAUCCGGGUUGCGGACAGUGUCUGGUGGGUAGUUUGACUGGGGCGGUCUCCUCCCAAAGAGUAACGGAGGAGCACGAAGGUUGGCUAAUCCUGGUCGGACAUCAGGAGGUUAGUGCAAUGGCAUAAGCCAGCUUGACUGCGAGCGUGACGGCGCGAGCAGGUGCGAAAGCAGGUCAUAGUGAUCCGGUGGUUCUGAAUGGAAGGGCCAUCGCUCAACGGAUAAAAGGUACUCCGGGGAUAACAGGCUGAUACCGCCCAAGAGUUCAUAUCGACGGCGGUGUUUGGCACCUCGAUGUCGGCUCAUCACAUCCUGGGGCUGAAGUAGGUCCCAAGGGUAUGGCUGUUCGCCAUUUAAAGUGGUACGCGAGCUGGGUUUAGAACGUCGUGAGACAGUUCGGUCCCUAUCUGCCGUGGGCGCUGGAGAAUUGAGGGGGGCUGCUCCUAGUACGAGAGGACCGGAGUGGACGCAUCACUGGUGUUCGGGUUGUCAUGCCAAUGGCACUGCCCGGUAGCUAAAUGCGGAAGAGAUAAGUGCUGAAAGCAUCUAAGCACGAAACUUGCCCCGAGAUGAGUUCUCCCUGAGAC